Molecule: ribosomal RNA, 426 nt
Filed under: uncultured bacterium
Lineage: Bacteria
Description: bacterial SSU rRNA
Rfam family: Bacterial small subunit ribosomal RNA
Source: RNAcentral
GGGCCCGCACAAGCGGUGGAGCAUGUGGUUUAAUUCGAUGAUACGCGAGGAACCUUACCAGGGCUUAAAUGUAGAACGACCGAUUUGGAAACAAGUCUUCUCUUUGAGCGGUCUACAAGGUGCUGCAUGGUUGUCGUCAGCUCGUGCCGUGAGGUGUCGGGUUAAGUCCCUUAACGAGCGCAACCCCUAUCUCUAGUUGCCAGCGGAUAAUGCCGGGGACUCUAGAGAAACUGCCCGUGCAAACGGUGAGGAAGGUGGGGAUGACGUCAAAUCAUCACGGCCCUUACGUCCUGGGCUACACACGUGCUACAAUGGUCGGUACAGAGGGCAGCUACCACGUGAGUGGAUGCAAAUCUCGAAAGCCGAUCUCAGUUCGGAUUGAAGUCUGCAACUCGACUUCAUGAAGCUGGAAUCGCUAGUAAUCGC